GAACCGUCCAAACGUUAUUCGGAAUCAUUGGGCUUAAAGGGUGCGUAGGCGGUGUGGUCAGUUGGGUGUGAAAUCCCUCGGCUCAACCGAGGAACUGCGCCCAAUACUGCCACACUCGAGGGAGACAGAGGUAAGCGGAACUGAUGGUGGAGCGGUGAAAUGCGUUGAUAUCAUCAGGAACACCAGUGGCGAAGGCGGCUUACUGGGUCUCUUCUGACGCUGAGGCACGAAAGCUAGGGGGAGCGAACGGGAUUAGAUACCCCGGUAGUCCUAGCUGUAAACGAUGAGCACUUGAUCGGAGCUCCUCCCAUAGGUUUCCGGUCGUAGCGAAAGUGUUAAGUGCUCCGCCUGGGAGUAUGGUCGCAAGGCUG
Molecule: ribosomal RNA, 371 nt
Filed under: uncultured organism
Description: partial 16S ribosomal RNA
Rfam family: Bacterial small subunit ribosomal RNA
Source: RNAcentral